RNAcentral lists this ribosomal RNA (160 nucleotides) under Uncultured bacterium OL3_18C. RNAcentral's name for it is "partial 16S ribosomal RNA". It matches the Rfam family "Bacterial small subunit ribosomal RNA", at positions 355 to 507 of the family's 1533-position model. The record is from RNAcentral.
UAGGGAAUCUUCCACAAUGGGCGCAAGCCUGAUGGAGCAACACCGCGUGAGUGAAGAAGGGUUUCGGCUCGUAAAGCUCUGUUGUUGGAGAAGAACGUGCGUGAGAGUAACUGUUCACGCAGUGACGGUAUUUAACCAGAAAGUCACGGCUAACUACGUG